This 521-nucleotide ribosomal RNA is filed under the name uncultured Glomeraceae. RNAcentral's name for it is "SSU rRNA". It matches the Rfam family "Eukaryotic small subunit ribosomal RNA", at positions 569 to 1092 of the family's 1831-position model. The record is from RNAcentral. Lineage: Eukaryota; Fungi; Glomeromycota; Glomeromycetes; Glomerales; Glomeraceae.
AGCAGCCGCGGUAAUUCCAGCUCCAAUAGCGUAUAUUAAAGUUGCUGCAGUUAAAAAGCUCGUAGUUGAAUUUCGGGACUAAUAUGUCGGUCGUGCCUCGGUACGUACUGGUAUUUUUGGUUUCUACCUUCUGACGAACCUUGAUGUCAUUAAUUUGGUGUCUUGGGAAAUCAGGACUGUUACUUUGAAAAAAUUAGAGUGUUUAAAGCAGGCUCACGCUUGAAUACAUUAGCAUGGAAUAAUGAAAUAGGACGUUUGAUUCUAUUUUGUUGGUUUCUAGGAUCGACGUAAUGAUUAAUAGGGAUAGUUGGGGGCAUUAGUAUUCAAUUGUCAGAGGUGAAAUUCUUGGAUUUAUUGAAGACUAACUACUGCGAAAGCAUUUGCCAAGGAUGUUUUCAUUAAUCAAGAACGAAAGUUAGGGGAUCGAAGACGAUCAGAUACCGUCGUAGUCUUAACCAUAAACUAUGCCGACUAGGGAUCGGAUGAUGUUAAUUUUUUAAUGACUCAUUCGGCGCCUUACG